UGGGGAAUAUUGCACAAUGGGCGCAAGCCUGAUGCAGCCAUGCCGCGUGUAUGAAGAAGGCCUUCGGGUUGUAAAGUACUUUCAGCGAGGAGGAAGGCGUUGUGGUUAAUAACCGCAACGAUUGACGUUACUCGCAGAAGAAGCACCGGCUAACUCCGUGCCAGCAGCCGUGGUAAUACGGAGGGUGCAAGCGUUAAUCGGAAUUACUGGGCGUAAAGCGCACGCAGGCGGUCUGUCAAGUCGGAUGUGAAAUCCCCGGGCUCAACCUGGGAACUGCAUCCGAAACUGGCAGGCUAGAGUCUUGUAGAGGGGGGUAGAAUUCCAGGUGUAGCGGUGAAAUGCGUAGAGAUCUGGAGGAAUACCGGUGGCGAAGGCGGCCCCCUGGACAAAGACUGACGCUCAGGUGCGAAAGCGUGGGGAGCAAACA
RNAcentral lists this ribosomal RNA (427 nucleotides) under uncultured bacterium. Its description in RNAcentral is "partial 16S ribosomal RNA". It matches the Rfam family "Bacterial small subunit ribosomal RNA", at positions 355 to 774 of the family's 1533-position model. The record is from RNAcentral.